Molecule: ribosomal RNA, 483 nt
Filed under: uncultured bacterium
Lineage: Bacteria
Description: partial 16S ribosomal RNA
Rfam family: Bacterial small subunit ribosomal RNA
Source: RNAcentral
AUUGAACGCUGGCGGCAUGCUUUACACAUGCAAGUCGAACGGCAGCGCGGGCUUCGGCCUGGCGGCGAGUGGCGAACGGGUGAGUAAUGCAUCGGAACGUGCCCAGUAGUGGGGGAUAGCCCGGCGAAAGCCGGAUUAAUACCGCAUACGACCUGAGGGUGAAAGCGGGGGACCGAAAGGCCUCGCGCUAUUGGAGCGGCCGAUGUCGGAUUAGCUAGUUGGUGGGGUAAAGGCUUACCAAGGCGACGAUCCGUAGCUGGUCUGAGAGGACGACCAGCCACACUGGGACUGAGACACGGCCCAGACUCCGACGGGAGGCAGCAGUGGGGAAUUUUGGACAAGGGGGGCAACCCUGAUCCAGCCAUGCCGCGUGCGGGAAGAAGGCCUUCGGGUUGUAAACCGCUUUUGUUCGGGAAGAAAUCCUCUGGGCUAAUACCCCGGGGGGAGGACGGUACCGGAAGAAUAGGCACCGGCUAACUACGG